Long non-coding RNA from Hypanus sabinus (Atlantic stingray), 480 nucleotides. RefSeq lists it as uncharacterized. Lineage: Eukaryota; Metazoa; Chordata; Chondrichthyes; Myliobatiformes; Dasyatidae. The record is from RefSeq and is a predicted model, not a curated record. The transcript has 3 exons.
AGAUUUAGUUUCUUACAGGAAGAUAAAGGAAUACAAUAGAAUUUAUGAAAACUAUACAUGAACAAAGACUGACAAGCAACUAAAGUGCAAAAGAAGAAAAUUAUGCAAAUAAAAAACAAAUAAGUACAGAGAAUGUGAGUCGUGGAGUCCUUGAAAGUGAGUCUGCAGGUGUGGAAUCAAUUCAGAGUUGAGGCUGGGUUAAUAGGUGUAAACGGAAUCUUUUGGCUCAAAGACACCAAACCUUUGUUCUGCUAUCACGCAGCUUGCUGAUGAUCUCGGUUAAGGAUAUUUCGGCAAAUCUCCUCCUACUGUGCAUGUGCAGGACAUAUCUACCGAAAACAAGCAACAUGUUUGGUUUCAGAUCUCGUUGUGAAAGACAGCGCGUGUUUGUUCAGUUACAGACUAGAAAAACUUAAACAACGGGCAGCUGUUGGCUCUCGCGCAGGAGGACAUAAAAGUUUUUAAAAAACAAAUACAGAA